RNAcentral lists this non-coding RNA (1092 nucleotides) under Exophiala aquamarina CBS 119918. RNAcentral's name for it is "Bacterial large subunit ribosomal RNA". It matches the Rfam family "Bacterial large subunit ribosomal RNA", at positions 1 to 1278 of the family's 2925-position model. The record is from Rfam by way of RNAcentral. Lineage: Eukaryota; Fungi; Ascomycota; Eurotiomycetes; Chaetothyriales; Herpotrichiellaceae.
AAAAAGUGUAAAAAGAAAUUAUUAUGAAUAAUUUGCUAUAAACCAAAAGAAGAAUGAAUAGGCUAAGAGAAAUCUAAUAAGUAAACAAGAUGAACAGAAAAAUCUAAUUAAUCUUAGGAAAAAAAAUCAAACGAGAUUCUACAUAUAAUGAGAAGAAAAGUAGAGUAGCCAAGCCAAGUAAAAUGGAUUUUCUGUUUGAAUAAAGGGGAACCUUCCUCUAAGGCUAAAUAUGGUUUAUACGCAAUAGUGUAUAGUUCCGUGAGGAAAUAGGUUUAAUAGUAAUUUUAUAAGCAGCUCAAGAAAAAAUAAAAAAAACAAGAGCGUACCUUUUGCAUAAUGGGUCAGCAAGUUAAUUUUAGAUGCAAGACAAACUAUAUAACUAUGUGAAAAAAAGCAUAGAAUAGUAUGAAUACUUAGAGAAAUCGAUUAUGAAAAAAUGAGCAAGUAUCUAAAAUUAGACCCGGAGACUAGUGAUCUUACCAUUAUCAGGAUUAUAAAAGUCCGAACGGGUUGUCGUUGUAUAGACAUCCGAAGAAUGGUGGUAAGUAAGUGAAAGACAAAACUGACUAGUUAAGCUGGUUUUCCGCGAAACCUAUAUUAGUAGGUAAUUUAAGUAACAUCUUAGCAGGUACAGAACUGUGAUCUCGGUCAAAAAAGUCCUUUUCAAUAUUUUUCUAAUCCAAAAAUAAAAAGGAAAAUUUUGUAUAUAUCGGGGGAUCGUAAAGAUUUUAUCGGAGAGUAUUUGCACUCGGAAGGGUUAAGAUGAAUAUUAAAUAAUCGGACAUAGUACGAAAGGUUGUAUGUCUAAAGGGAAACAGCCCAGAACAAGAGUUUAAGGUUCCAAAAUUAUUGUUGAGUGAAAUUAAGGAUGUGUCUUUGAAUACAAUCAUUUAAUGGGCUUAGAUGCAGCCACUUUUUAAUGAUCUCGUAACAGAGCGUUGAUUUGUUUUAGGAGUACACACCGAAAAUAUAACGGAUCUAAAUAAUAUACCGAAACCUUGUCCAUAUAUUGUUUAAAUUAAACAAAAGAUAUAUGGGGUAGCGGAACAUUGGAUAUAUAUCUAGCUUUGUUCUUUAUAAGAAUAAAAAAAA